CCUACGUGAGGCAGCAGUGAGGAAUAUUGGUCAAUGGGCGUAAGCCUGAACCAGCCAAGCCGCGUGAGGGAUGAAGGUUCAAUGGAUCGUAAACCUCUUUUAUCAGGGAACAAAGUGCGGGACAUGUCCCGUUUUGUAUGUACCUUAUGAAUAAGCAUCGGCUAACUCCGUGCCAGCAGCCGCGGUAAUACGGAGGAUCCGAGCGUUAUCCGGAUUUAUUGGGUUUAAAGGGUGCGGAGGCGGCCUUUUAAGUCAGCGGUGAAAGUCUGUGGCUCAACCAUAGAAUUGCCGUUGAAACUGGGAGGCUUGAGUUUGAUUGAAGCAGGCGGAAUGCGUGGUGUAGCGGUGAAAUGCUUAGAUAUCGCGCAGAACCCCGAUUGCGAAGGCAGCCUGCCAAGCCAUGACUGACGCUGAUGCACGAAAGCGUGGGGAUCGAACAGGAUUAGAUACCCGUGUAGUC
RNAcentral lists this ribosomal RNA (460 nucleotides) under uncultured bacterium. RNAcentral describes it as "partial 16S ribosomal RNA". It matches the Rfam family "Bacterial small subunit ribosomal RNA", at positions 338 to 795 of the family's 1533-position model. The record is from RNAcentral.